UACCAGCACCCCGAGUGGUCGGGACGUUUAUUGGGCCUAAAGCAUCCGUAGCCGGUUCUGCAAGUCUUCCGUUAAAUCCACCUGCUUAACAGAUGGGCCGCGGAAGAUACUAUAGAGCUAGGAGGCGGGAGAGGCAAGCGGUACUCGAUGGGUAGGGGUAAAAUCCGUUGAUCCAUUGAAGACCACCAGUGGCGAAGGCGGCUUGCCAGAACGCGCUCGACGGUGAGGGAUGAAAGCUGGGGGAGCAAACCGGG
Molecule: ribosomal RNA, 254 nt
Filed under: uncultured bacterium
Lineage: Bacteria
Description: partial 16S ribosomal RNA
Rfam family: Archaeal small subunit ribosomal RNA
Source: RNAcentral